This 140-nucleotide small nucleolar RNA is filed under the name Periophthalmus magnuspinnatus. RNAcentral describes it as "Small nucleolar RNA SNORA13 (ENSPMGG00000007679.1)". It matches the Rfam family "Small nucleolar RNA SNORA13". From Rfam's summary of the family: ACA13 is a member of the H/ACA class of snoRNA that guide the sites of modification of uridines to pseudouridines. Lineage: Eukaryota; Metazoa; Chordata; Actinopteri; Gobiiformes; Gobiidae. The record is from RNAcentral.
UGCCUUUGUGUUGCCCUUUCAUUAUUUUCUUUGUGAAAAGGGUGUCUAUCAAGGCAUACAAUAACUCUGGUAACAGAUGUGGAUUUAACUGAAGGGCAUCUGACGUGAUUCUUUCAUCUUCCUCAUCUGCCAGAACAAUA